RNA transcript from Manihot esculenta (cassava), 2228 nucleotides. RefSeq lists it as uncharacterized. The record is from RefSeq and is a predicted model, not a curated record. The transcript has 3 exons. Lineage: Eukaryota; Viridiplantae; Streptophyta; Magnoliopsida; Malpighiales; Euphorbiaceae.
UCUGUGUUCAAGCUGGCACCAGUCUCCUUCUACUUCUCAAAACUUUCUCCGUCUCUUCUCUGUUUCUGUGUUGAUCGAUCCUUAAACCCUAACCCUAAUUCCACUGCACUGUAAGUUAAACAGAGGCGUCAGGCGUCAGCUCAUCGCACCGCCACCGGAAACAAACUCAGUGUCCUGAGCUUGCAUCGUUAAAUUCAUGUUCUAACGCAUACGGCCGCGAAACACACACCAAAACGGAAAAAGAAAGAGAAAGAAAAAGGCUGAAACAUGGUUCCUUUCUUGCCUUUGGUUUCAUUUAUUAUUCUCUAUAUCGGAAUCUUAAUCCCAGGUGUCAAUCCACGAGAGCAGGAUUCAUCGGUCUACGAUGUUCUUAAGGACCAUGGGCUGCCCAUGGGCCUACUCCCUAAGGGCAUUGAAGAUUUCAGAAUCGAUGAUACGGGCCAUUUCGUGGUCCACUUAGAUCAGGCUUGCAAUGCCAAGUUCGAGAGCGAAUUGCAUUAUGAUAGGAAUGUAUCAGGGACUUUGAGCUAUGGCCAGAUCGGGGCUUUGUCUGGAAUUUCUGCUCAAGAGUUGUUUUUGUGGUUUCCGGUCAAGGGUAUUCGGGUUGAUGUUCCUAGUUCUGGUCUUAUUUAUUUCGAUGUUGGUGUUGUUUCUAAGCAGUUCUCUCUUUCUUUGUUCGAGACGCCGAGGGAAUGUGUGGCUGUUCGAGAUGGGCUAGAGGAGGCGAUUGAGUCUGGAAGACGUAUUGCUGACGUUGUGUCCAAGAGUCAACUUGGGGAGUUAAGAUAUCAACUCGAUCAAGAGAAUUUCGGGAGGGGUGUCCUGUAAAGUGCAAUGGAGAAAGUCAUUUAAGGCGUUUCACAGCUCAAUCAACUCCAACGGGUUCUUAUUUUCACCUUGUAAAAUUCAUCAGAGAUUCUGCUUUUGCAGGUCCAAUGCUUCUAUUCAGUGUGUUUGCUUUUGUUCUUUUUUCCCCAUAGAGUGCAGAAUAUGGAACCAACUUAGCAAAGCCGGCUCUUGUCUAUGCAUGGAUGCCCUAUGCCUUGAGAGGAAAAAUUAAAAAAGGCAACAGCAUAAUCACCAAAGGCUAGCAUUUGGCUGAGGUGAUUCAGGUGUAAUCCUCAAGAAUGUCAGAGAAUUUGAGCAGAGGAAUUGAGUUAGUCAUAUUUGUUGAAGUAGAUUUCUGCAGUGAGAUUUAACUGUCUUUUCUCCUAGACUCCUUUUUUUUUUUCUUUAUGUUUUUCCUCCUGGUAGAAGGGGUGGGGUCACAGGAUUGGGGGGGGGGGGGGGGUGUGAUUAGACGGGAUGGUUGAUCAUUUACAUUAGGAUUUUGGAUUUGAUUCAGGAAUUGCUGAAUUCAUGAUAGGCAAUCGAACUAAAUUGUGCCUUGGAGCCUGGUGAGAAAUUUUUUGAAGUUGAGUUUCAGGUGCAACUUUCAAACUUUGCCCUCCACGAAUCAUGAUCUUAAUUUUAUUUUCCCGGUCCUUGAUUUUUUUCUUUUCCUUUCUUUGUUUUGUUUUCUUUCUAUUUAGCAUGAUAAGGCUUUUCUAUUAAACUUAGUCCACCUUUCCCUGAUUACAGAAAAUAGAGCUACCUCCCUAAUUCACCUGAUUAAUUAUUACUUAUUGCUAGUGAGUUGUUAGCUUUAGGGUUUUAUUGCAGGAUGUUAAUAUCCCAGGCACCACAUGCUUUAGCCGCUGAACUGCUAUGCUUAUGUCCAACUCUCCUUGACAUGAAAAUUGUGUAGUCUCUGUAUUGAAAAAAAUAAUUGAACCUCUAGUUUCAAGCAGCCAGAUUAGGGUCUCAACUCCUACUCUCAAGUGGCUUGGUCCCAACAGUUAUUUGGCUACAUUAGAGCAGGCAUUGAGCGUAAGUGCAUGGGAAGUGGUAGUAUAGCUCUGUUUUGGUAUGUGCCAUGCAAAAUAACGUUUCAAGUGAAUAUGCAGCCCUUUGGAUUUGCAUCAUGAUAUCAAGAAUUAAGAAAUUUCCAGUUGAGGUGGUCAGUAUAAGCCAGCUUGCAUGUAUUUCUCCGUUUAACCUUGUAGUUGGAGUUUUUCAAUCAUAAACAUUUAAAUAUAACAAAUCUGAGGUGAACGAAAAAAAAAAAAAAAGGUAGUUGGGCCACAUGGAUAAGGUCUGGAUCUUGUCUUUCUGCUUUUAUUUCCUGCCAUAUUGGUCUGGAAUGGUCUUCAAACACUAUUUAGCGGUAUUUUCGAACAGCUAUCCAA